UACGUAGGGGGCAAGCGUUGUCCGGAUUUAUUGGGCGUAAAGAGCGUGUAGGCGGCUUUGCAAGUCCGUUGUGAAAACUCGAGGCUCAACCUCGAGACGCCGGUGGAAACUGCAAAGCUAGAGUCCGGAAGAGGAGAGUGGAAUUCCUGGUGUAGCGGUGAAAUGCGCAGAUAUCAGGAAGAACACCCGUGGCGAGGGCGGCUCUUUGGGACGGUACUGACGCUGAGACGCGAAAGCGUGGGGAGCGAACAGG
RNAcentral lists this ribosomal RNA (253 nucleotides) under uncultured bacterium. RNAcentral's name for it is "partial 16S ribosomal RNA". It matches the Rfam family "Bacterial small subunit ribosomal RNA", at positions 524 to 776 of the family's 1533-position model. The record is from RNAcentral.